RNAcentral lists this transfer RNA (74 nucleotides) under Bacteroidota bacterium. Its description in RNAcentral is "tRNA-Asp". It matches the Rfam family "tRNA". From Rfam's summary of the family: Transfer RNA (tRNA) molecules are approximately 80 nucleotides in length. Their secondary structure includes four short double-helical elements and three loops (D, anti-codon, and T loops). Further hydrogen bonds mediate the characteristic L-shaped molecular structure. tRNAs have two regions of fundamental functional importance: the anti-codon, which is responsible for specific mRNA codon recognition, and the 3' end, to which the tRNAs corresponding amino acid is attached (by aminoacyl-tRNA synthetases). tRNAs cope with the degeneracy of the genetic code in two manners: having more than one tRNA (with a specific anti-codon) for a particular amino acid; and 'wobble' base-pairing, i.e. permitting non-standard base-pairing at the 3rd anti-codon position. The record is from RNAcentral. RNAcentral also lists the same sequence under 2 other names. Lineage: Bacteria; Pseudomonadati; Bacteroidota.
GGUCUGGUAGUUCAGUUGGUUAGAAUAUCGGCCUGUCACGCCGGGGGUCGCGGGUUCGAGUCCCGUCCAGACCG